GCGCCUGUAGCUCAGCUUGGAUAGAGCAGUCGGUUCCUAACCGAAAGAUCCGGGGUUCAAAUCCUCGCAGGCGCG
This 75-nucleotide transfer RNA is filed under the name Candidatus Woesearchaeota archaeon. RNAcentral describes it as "tRNA-Arg". It matches the Rfam family "tRNA". From Rfam's summary of the family: Transfer RNA (tRNA) molecules are approximately 80 nucleotides in length. Their secondary structure includes four short double-helical elements and three loops (D, anti-codon, and T loops). The record is from RNAcentral. Lineage: Archaea; Nanobdellati; Candidatus Woesearchaeota. RNAcentral also lists the same sequence under 1 other name.